Molecule: ribosomal RNA, 407 nt
Filed under: uncultured bacterium
Lineage: Bacteria
Description: partial 16S ribosomal RNA
Rfam family: Bacterial small subunit ribosomal RNA
Source: RNAcentral
AUUGAACGCUGGCGGCAGGCCUAACACAUGCAAGUCGAGCGGAGCAGCGGACGGGGGAGUAAGGCCUAGGAAUCUGACUGGUAGUGGGGGAUAGCGUCAGGAAACGGGCGCUAAUACCGCAUACUCUCAGAUGAGCCUAGGUCGGAUUAGCUAGUUGGUGGGGUAAAGGCCUACCAAGGCGACGAUCCGUAACUGGUCUGAGAGGAUGAUCAGUCACACUGGAACUGAGACACGGUCCAGACUCCUACGGGAGGCAGCAGUGGGGAAUAUUGGACAAUGGGCGAAAGCCUGAUCCAGCCAUGCCGCGUGUAUGAAGAAGGUCUUCGGAUUGUAAAGCACUUUAAGUUGGGAGGCGUUACCAACAGAAUAAGCACCGGCUAACUUCGUGCCAGCAGCCGCGGUAAUUC